AAUCAACGCUGGCGGCGUGCCUCAGACAUGCAAGUCGAACGAUUAAACUUUCCUUCGGGAAAGAUAUAAAGUGGCGCACGGGUGAGUAACACGUAAGUAAUCUACCUUUGAGUGGGGAAUAACGUUCGGAAACGGACGCUAAUACCGCAUAAUGCAGCGGCAUCGCAAGAUGACAGUUGUUAAAGAUUUAUCGCUUGAAGAGGAGCUUGCGGCAGAUUAGCUUGUUGGUAAGGUAACGGCUUACCAAGGCUACGAUCUGUAUCCGGUCUAAGAGGACGGUCGGACACACUGACACUGAAUAACGGGUCAGACUCCUACGGGAGGCAGCAGUCGGGAAUUUUGGGCAAUGGGGGAAACCCUGACCCAGCAACGCCGCGUGAAGGAUGAAGUAUUUCGGUAUGUAAACUUCGAAAGAAUAGGAAGAAUUAAUGACGGUA
Molecule: ribosomal RNA, 437 nt
Filed under: uncultured bacterium
Lineage: Bacteria
Description: bacterial SSU rRNA
Rfam family: Bacterial small subunit ribosomal RNA
Source: RNAcentral